RNAcentral lists this unclassified non-coding RNA (912 nucleotides) under uncultured fungus. Its description in RNAcentral is "sequence contains 18S rRNA gene, ITS1, 5.8S rRNA gene, ITS2, 28S rRNA gene". Lineage: Eukaryota; Fungi. The record is from RNAcentral.
CCGACGUGCGCGGACGCGAAGCGAUUCUCAAAGUCCACGCGCGCAAUGUGAAGUUGGAUCCGUCCGUCGAUUUGUCGGUCACCGCUCGCGGCACACCUGGGUAUUCCGGCGCGGAAUUGGCGAACUUGUUGAACGAAGCCGCAUUGCUUGCUGCUCGCACCGGCAAAAAAGCCGUGGGCAUGGCGGAACUCGAAGAAGCACGCGACAAAGUGCGCUGGGGCCGCGAACGCCGCAGCCUCGCCAUGACGGACGAAAACAAGAAGCUCACCGCCUGGCACGAAGCCGGCCAUGCGCUGGUGAACGUGAUGCUCAAGCACACGCAUCCGCUGCACAAGGUGACGAUCAUUCCGCGCGGACCCUCGCUCGGCUCAACGAUGUCGCUGCCGAAGGAAGACAUCCUCAAUUACAAGAAGAAGGAGCUGGAGGACAUGAUCGCGAUGACGAUGGCGGGACGCAUCGCGGAGGAAAUCGUUUCCGGCGACAUCUCAACCGGCGCGGGCGGCGACAUUCAGCAGGCCACAAACAUGGCGCGGGCAAUGGUUUGCCAGUAUGGCAUGAGCGACAAGCUCGGCAUGGUGCAGCUCACCGAGGACGACGAGUAUUUCCUCGGUCGCGACAUGAUGCGCCGCAAAUCCUAUAGCGAAGCGACCGCGCAGGAAAUCGACGGUGAAGUGCGGGCGUUCAUCAAGGCGCAGUUCGACCGUGCGCAUGAUCUUAUUCACAGCAACCGCGACAAACUGGAGUUGAUCGCGAAUUCCCUGCUCGAAUACGAAACGCUCGAUGGCGCGCAGGUGGAAGAAAUUGUGCGGACCGGAAAAUUCACCCCGCCGCCGCCGCCGCCGCCAAACAUCGAGCCGCCGAUGGGUGCCCAAGCGGCCACGCCUCUGCCUGAAGUAAUGAAGCCGGCGUCGC